This 491-nucleotide ribosomal RNA is filed under the name uncultured bacterium. RNAcentral's name for it is "partial 16S ribosomal RNA". It matches the Rfam family "Bacterial small subunit ribosomal RNA", at positions 29 to 506 of the family's 1533-position model. The record is from RNAcentral.
AGUGAACGCUGGCGGUAGGCCUAACACAUGCAAGUCGAACGGCAGCACAGUAAGAGCUUGCUCUUACGGGUGGCGAGUGGCGGACGGGUGAGGAAUACAUCGGAAUCUACUUUUUCGUGGGGGAUAACGUAGGGAAACUUACGCUAAUACCGCAUACGACCCACGGGUGAAAGCAGGGGAUCUUCGGACCUUGCGCGAUUGAAUGAGCCGAUGUCGGAUUAGCUAGUUGGCGGGGUAAAGGCCCACCAAGGCGACGAUCCGUAGCUGGUCUGAGAGGAUGAUCAGCCACACUGGAACUGAGACACGGUCCAGACUCCUACGGGAGGCAGCAGUGGGGAAUAUUGGACAAUGGGCGCAAGCCUGAUCCAGCCAUACCGCGUGGGUGAAGAAGGCCUUCGGGUUGUAAAGCCCUUUUGUUGGGAAAGAAAAGCAGCAGGUUAAUACCCCGCUGUUCGGACGGUACCCAAAGAAUAAGCACCGGCUAACUUCGU